AUGUUACUCCCUCCGACCCAUAUUAAUUGUCAAAAUAUUACAUGUAUCUAAACGCUUUUUAGGCAUAGAUACAUCCAUAUUUUGGCAAAUUUGAGACAAUCAAUAUGGAUCAGAGGGAGUAGUAU
Non-coding RNA from Brachypodium distachyon (stiff brome), 125 nucleotides. The record is from Rfam. NCBI's taxonomy places the organism in Eukaryota, Viridiplantae, Streptophyta, Magnoliopsida, Poales, Poaceae.